Molecule: long non-coding RNA, 2412 nt
Organism: Bos taurus (domestic cattle)
Lineage: Eukaryota; Metazoa; Chordata; Mammalia; Artiodactyla; Bovidae
Source: Ensembl
GUGGGAGGUGUCCCUCUUCUCUGCUCUUACCUGCCCUUUCUCCAGCAACUCGCUCUCUUGUGUCACAGACUGUGGGGACAAGCAUGCUUGUGCGUUAAGGGCUUUCCUGAGGGGUUCUCCGGGAGGAAAUUGGGGAGUGGACCCGUGCAAAGAUCCGCUCCCGGCGAGGGGCCAGUGCCAGGGCAGUUUCACGGCUUGAGUGCCGCUGCACCCUCGUUUGACGUGGAAAUGAUGAGCUGGCGGCUUUAGAGCUCCAAACUUAUUUGGGAAGGUUAAAUGAGUUCUUAAAUAUUUAUUUAUUUAAUCUCCAGUUAAAGGAGGUUUGUUCUGCAAGAGUGAGGGGGCUGUCGUGUGCAGCACCUGUUUUUUUUUUUCUCACAGUGAGGAUUGCAAUCUUCAGCCACACAUAACGUCAGAGAUGCAGUGUAUUUCUUAAGUUAAAUGGCAGUGUCAUGGUUAGAAUUUAUCCCUGGUGAGCUUUAGCGUUUGAGUGAGGCCUUGGAUAGAGCAGGGUGUUAUUUCUUAUUCCCAUGUUUCGGUUAGUUUACAGUGGACUUAAUCCAGCUCAAGAGUGUGGACCUAGGCAAGCCAGAAUCUCCUGUAGAAACACCCCAAACCUCAAGGUAACGCAGACUAAAUUUCGACAAAAGUUUUCUCUCAGUUUACAGUUAAACUCAUCACAAGUAACUGAACUUUGGCUUGGUUCUCUUUAGAAACUGCAAGCAAGGUUUAAUUGCAGUUUUUUGCUCCCUUGUUAUUCUUGGGGAUAAGUGCAUAUUUAUUUUCUUGAUUAACUUUUGUUUUUAUGCAUAUUUCUUUUAAAGAAAGCAUCAUGUAGAAAACUUUUUAGGAGAGAGAUUUGCAGUAUUAUAGAGUUAUGCUGAAGUAGUGGAGUAAGUUGUAUUCUCUCUUGAAAGUAACUUAAAAUUAACCUGAAAUCCUAUGAUGUAUAAUAAAGCCUUGUACAUUGCUAGCCUUGUGAAAUAUACCAUAAAAUGCACAUAGUAAAUCUUCGUUUGAUUUAUACCUACUACAAUAGUAAGGAUAAGGUGGGAAUUCAAAGAUUUGAAAUUAUGAUUUUAUAGCUUAGUAUGUAAAAAUGCAGGGUGUUAGAAAUGAAUAGGAUUUAAGGAACAUAGAAGGGUGGUUUGGAGGCGUGAAUUUUCCUUUUCCUACUUUAUAAACUGAGAAUUCUACUUAAAUUGCUGAACAGCUGGAAUGAAAGUUGCAUAGAUAGCAGAAACAGAUGCAAAAAUGUGUUUUUGAUUAAGUAGUCAGUUAACAUGAAGAAUAUCUUGUGGUUUAUUAAGACAGUGAUUCAAAAUAAUUUAUAUAAAACAUAGCAUUAUAUAGAUUGUACUUUAGGAUGUUCUUAAAUUGAAAUAGACACUUAAAGUUGUUUUCCUUCAAGUCAGUUUUGAGAGAGAGAAUUGAAAAACAGUAACUUAGAUUACAUUCUGCAGUGUUUGGUUACAAGUUUUAACUAGUUAUUUUAAGGCACUGGAGUGUCUUUAAAAGUGGUGAAUUGUUAAAUCACUAGUGGCUUGGAAAAACUUGUGUUCCUUGUUUAUUUUUUUAAGUGCCCGUUAUAUCAGUAGGUUGGUCUGGAGGGGGAGCUAGUGCCAAAGCAAAGCAUGGCUUAAUAUAUGUUUGAACUUUUUCAAACACCCCAAACCAGAUUUUUAUGACCAGAAGAAAGAGAAAUUUAAUUUUUAGUUAAAGGAGUAAAGGAAUUGAUAAUGAAUAUAUAUCUUAUCUGUCAAUAGUUACUUGUGGAGUAUAUAUAUUGUAUAUUACAAAUUAGUUAGUUUUUUUCGUGAUCUGAAAAUAAAUGCAUAAGGUUUGUUAAAUUUCUCAUUUUAAACCUCUGAAAGUUGGUCCCCAAACUUAGGGUAUAUGAUGACAGAUUCUUAAACUUAUUACGCAUUGCAUCAGAAAGGAAGCAGUAUCUGUUAACCCUUUGUGCAUGUUGUAUCUUCUUAAGUUUUUUCUUUAUAAUAUCUAUAGUCCAAACAUUUCAAAAGAGCUUCAAGUAGAGUCUUAUAAGAGCAAAGAUAUCAAGCAUGUAGUAUUUAGCUAGGUAUUUAUCAAAAGUAAAGGUAAUUGCAAUAAAAAAAAAUGGGUCCUUUAAACAUCUGGAGAUCUGGAAAGCAGGAUCCCAAGGUCACUUCUUAACAUCUCUCUCCUGCAAUAUAAUGCAGUGAGUCCAUCUGAUCUGUGAAAUUGAACUUGUGCAUUUGAAUAUGAAGCAGUAAUUUUUUUGAUCUGUGGCACUUUAUUUAGGUUUCUGAACUGCAAUCAGUUUUGAUUUUACUUCUUACGGUUCACAUAUUCUUCCAAAUUCGAGGUUAGGAUUGAUUGUGUGUAUAUUAAAAUCAGAAUAUUUUAGUUUUCUGAGGGUAGUAGUUGGGC